GUUUGGCUGUAAUAAAUGUUUUAUUAUAAACUGCGUGUUGAUAAUAGAGAAAAGAAAGAAAUUGUGCAGUUAUUUUAACAUACACUUUUGAUCUGUAUUUGAAUGUUGUGGUUAACAACAAUUAGUUACAGUGUGUUUCUCUCACAAAGCCCGUGAAGUUGGAGCUGGAACUGAACUUGGAAAGGGGAGAACACGAGAUUGUACGUAUUGUAUUUUGAUUAAUUUUUCAUCUCACCGGGGAUCACGUGCCAUUAAUUUUUGCGUCGUGUAUUCGUUUGAAGACCACUAGGCAUCCGUUUCUGCUUUUGAAUCUUACUGUAUGACUUUCCUUCAGUGAAAACUUCAUUCAGCUUUUUUGUUAUGUUAUUCUCUCGUAUCUCCUAGUGUCAAUUUGUAUCAAAGAGAGUUGGUAGGUGGCAACUGUGUACUGAUGAAUGUCGUAGUCCCUUCUGUAUAAGUACUGGACCUUAUAGUUACAGAAAUUGAGGCCACAAUGACAGUAGAAUUGAAUCAGCUGGGAGAUGCUCUGCCUGCAUUGCAGUUUUCUUCAGUUGCAAGGCAAUUGGGGCAGCAGUGUAGCAGUGUAGCAGUAGCUUAAUAACCAGGUUAUGUGAUGGCACACAGACAUUUUUUGUCAUCGAUUACUACAUUCCCGCAUUUGUGAUAAGUUUUGAUACAUCAAGAGCUGGUAUUUCACGAUUUGCCUGAGGUGAAACAUCAGUUUUGAAGAUGAAAUUUGUGGUAUCGUAAUGGAGCAAGCAAUGGGGAACAUAGCAGCACACUGAACAAAAGCGUAUGCAGAUGAUGAUUGACGACAUCCUGUGUUUUACAAAUUGCAGUCUCAAUACAUCACAUAUGAAUAACACAGUUGUUUUGUGUAAGCGCUACUCAAAGAUGAAGAGGAAGUUGUGGUGGGAUGCAUCAAACCAGUCAGAACAACGCUUAUGAAAUUUUCAUUACUUCCUCUUACAAGCGUUGUAUGCCCCUUUUUGUGCUACAGACAACCCUAAAGUGGUGUACUGAAUGUCAUUUUUCUUUCUGGCAUCGUAAUUAUGUACCUCAUUGUUCAUUUUGAGCUGUGGUGUAUUAUGAACAACAAACGUCAUGAGGGAAUAAAUAUACUGUGAAGCAGUAAUCCGACUGCUCAACUCUUUUAACAGAUGUCUACAAGAUGAUCAUGGUGACAGCAGUGUUCGUCGAGUCUUCUGGUACAGUGAGAGUUUCUUCUGGAUGUGGAACAGGCGUAGCUUGCACUCACCUGAAGGUGCAACCCUCGACAUUACCAGAAGGCUUGGAUGUGGUGCCAGGGCUGUGGAAAGCUCUACACUGCACAGCUCUUUGCUAAGUCAUUAGUCAAAAAUUCACACACUGUGGCUAGUCUCUCAUUGACUACUAUUCUUGUUGUGA
Molecule: long non-coding RNA, 1407 nt
Organism: Schistocerca cancellata (South American locust)
Lineage: Eukaryota; Metazoa; Arthropoda; Insecta; Orthoptera; Acrididae
Exons: 4
Source: RefSeq, a predicted model, not a curated record